UGAUUUAUUGGUUGCAAACCAAUGUCAAUAAGUGUCGAUAUAUGGCCGAAUCUGUGCUUCUGAAGUGCACAUCUUUCGAAGGAAAGAAAAGUGUUGCAGAGAUCAGAACAGGUGAGGACACAGAAAGCACCGAAGAGGAAAUCCUUCUUCUGAGAGACGCCAGGACUGCAGCUGACUGGUGUAGCAAGAGAAACUGGGAUGGAAAAAUACUAUGUCCCAUUGUCCUUUCAAUGGAAAAGGAGCAACAAA
Sinocyclocheilus grahami is the source of this 249-nucleotide long non-coding RNA. RefSeq lists it as uncharacterized. The record is from RefSeq and is a predicted model, not a curated record. NCBI's taxonomy places the organism in Eukaryota, Metazoa, Chordata, Actinopteri, Cypriniformes, Cyprinidae. The transcript has 3 exons.